UAGAUUGAAGUCAGUUGAUUAGGAUGUUUAGCUGUUAACUAAAUUUUCGUAGGUUUGAAUUCCACCAAUCUGG
Molecule: transfer RNA, 73 nt
Organism: Pan troglodytes (chimpanzee)
Lineage: Eukaryota; Metazoa; Chordata; Mammalia; Primates; Hominidae
Rfam family: tRNA
About the family: Transfer RNA (tRNA) molecules are approximately 80 nucleotides in length. Their secondary structure includes four short double-helical elements and three loops (D, anti-codon, and T loops). Further hydrogen bonds mediate the characteristic L-shaped molecular structure. tRNAs have two regions of fundamental functional importance: the anti-codon, which is responsible for specific mRNA codon recognition, and the 3' end, to which the tRNAs corresponding amino acid is attached (by aminoacyl-tRNA synthetases). tRNAs cope with the degeneracy of the genetic code in two manners: having more than one tRNA (with a specific anti-codon) for a particular amino acid; and 'wobble' base-pairing, i.e. permitting non-standard base-pairing at the 3rd anti-codon position.
Source: Rfam